UUGGGUAAGCUGAAAGGGAAGCUGGUUAAUAUUCCAGCACCAUGAAAGUACGUGGCAACACAAAGAGUGUUUUUCUGACUCUUCGAGAUAGCUUGAGUGCAGCUGUCGCUGUAUCUAAGCUUGCGAAGACUGUGGAGUGCUGUAACAGUGAGAAACAGUCGAAGCGGUGAAUGGCCGUCGUAGGACGGUUCAGGCAAGUCUUGGAGACCGUGAAAACGAAAACACUUUGGAUCUUUCAUGACCGUACCAAGAACUGACACAGGUGCCCCUAGCUUAGUAGGCUCAGGCGUGACGAGGUUAACCCUGCUUAGGGAAGUCGGCAAAUUAGCCCCGAAGCUUAGGUAUAAGGGGUGCCUGCCCUGAAAAGGGCAGGUUGCAAUAACUAGGGAGUUCCGACUGUUUAAUAAAAACGUAGGUCUCCGCGAAACCGUAAGGUCUUGUAUGGAGGCUGAUACCUGCCCAGCGGUGGUAUCUCAAACCCCGGUCCAACGGGGCCAAGGACCACUAAACGGCGGGGGUAACUAUGACCCUCUUAAGGUAGCGUAAUACCUUGCCGCUUAAUUGGCGGCUUGCAUGAAUGGUAUAACGAGAUCUCCGCUGUCCCAAGCAGGGGCUCGGUGAACCUACAAUUCCGGUGAAUAGGCCGGAGACUUCCAGCGGGAAGCGAAGACCCCGUGGAGCUUUACAGCAACCUGUUGUUGGAUUGCGAUUAAUGUUGCGCAGUGUAGGUGGGAGACGUUUGAGUUUGCGGUUUCGGCCGUGAGUUAGUCGAAAAUUGAGACACCACCCAGGAUUGAUUACAAUCCUUACCAACCUUUACCGGUUGGAACACCAGCAGGCGGGCUGUUCGGCUGGGGCGGUACACCGUUGAAAAGAUAUCGACGGUAUCUAAUAGUUGGCUCAGUCGGGACAGAAAUCCGACGUAGAGGAUAAGACCAAAAGCCAGCUUGACUGGAUUUCGAAUAACAAGUAAUCCAGAGACGAAAGUCAAGUCUAGCGAACCCUGGUACCCCACAUGUGGGGGUCCGGGCUGAUGGAAAAGCUACCCCGGGGAUAACUGAGUGGUGGCGGGCAAGAGUACAUAUCGACCCCGCCGCUUGCUACUUCGCUGUCGGCUCACUGCAUCCUGGCCGUGCAGAAGCGGCCAAGGGUGGGGUUGUUCGCCCAUUAAAGUGGUACGUGAGCUGGGUUUAGAACGUCGCGAGACAGUUUGGCGGCAUCUACUGGAAGUGUUAAUUUCCUGAGGGGAAGGAUUGUCUAGUACGAGAGGAACGACGGCCCGCAGCCUCUGGUCGACCGGUUGUCUGACAAGGCAUUGCCGGGUAGCUACGCUGCACGCUGAUAAAGGCUGAAAGCAUCUAAGCCUGAAGCAGCCCCCAAAAAGAGGAAAUUCACGAGUUCCCGUAAAAGACGGGUUUGAUAGGCGGGGGAUGCACGCACGAAGGCUUCGGCCGACGUGUUCAGUCCACCCGAACUAAACACUCUACCAAAAA
This 1493-nucleotide ribosomal RNA is filed under the name Euryarchaeota archaeon SCGC AAA252-I15. RNAcentral describes it as "bacterial LSU rRNA". It matches the Rfam family "Archaeal large subunit ribosomal RNA", at positions 1495 to 2987 of the family's 2987-position model. Lineage: Archaea; Methanobacteriati; Methanobacteriota. The record is from RNAcentral.